UACGUAGGGUGCGAGCGUUGUCCGGAAUUACUGGGCGCAAAGAGCUCGUAGGUGGUUUGUCACGUCGUCUGUGAAAUUCCGGGGCUUAACCUCGGGCGUGCAGGCGAUACGGGCAAUACUUGAGUGCUGUAGGGGAGACUGGAAUUCCUGGUGUAGCGGUGAAAUGCGCAGAUAUCAGGAGGAACACCAAUGGCGAAGGCAGGUCUCUGGGCAGUUACUGACGCUGAGGAGCGAAAGCAUGGGUAGCGAACAGGAUUA
This 258-nucleotide ribosomal RNA is filed under the name uncultured prokaryote. RNAcentral describes it as "partial 16S ribosomal RNA". It matches the Rfam family "Bacterial small subunit ribosomal RNA", at positions 524 to 780 of the family's 1533-position model. The record is from RNAcentral.